AAGUCGAGCGGGGGAAGGUAGCUUGCUACUGGACCUAGCGGCGGACGGGUGAGUAAUGCUUAGGAAUCUGCCUAUUAGUGGGGGACAACAUUCCGAAAGGAAUGCUAAUACCGCAUACGUCCUACGGGAGAAAGCAGGGGACCUUCGGGCCUUGCGCUAAUAGAUGAGCCUAAGUCGGAUUAGCUAGUUGGUGGGGUAAAGGCCUACCAAGGCGACGAUCUGUAGCGGGUCUGAGAGGAUGAUCCGCCACACUGGGACUGAGACACGGCCCAGACUCCUACGGGAGGCAGCAGUGGGGAAUAUUGGACAAUGGGGGGAACCCUGAUCCAGCCAUGCCGCGUGUGUGAAGAAGGCCUUAUGGUUGUAAAGCACUUUAAGCGAGGAGGAGGCUACUAGUAUUAAUACUACUGGAUAGUGGACGUUACUCGCAGAAUAAGCACCGGCUAACUCUGUGCCAGCAGCCACGGUAAUACAGAGGGUGCGAGCGUUAAUCGGAUUUACUGGGCGUAAAGCGUGCGUAGGCGGCCAUUUAAGUCAAAUGUGAAAUCCCCGAGCUUAACUUGGGAAUUGCAUUCGAUACUGGAUGGCUAGAGUAUGGGAGAGGAUGGUAGAAUUCCAGGUGUAGCGGUGAAAUGCGUAGAGAUCUGGAGGAAUACCGAUGGCGAAGGCAGCCAUCUGGCCUAAUACUGACGCUGAGGUACGAAAGCAUGGGGAGCAAACAGGAUUAGAUACCCUGGUAGUCCAUGCCGUAAACGAUGUCUACUAGCCGUUGGGGCCUUUGAGGCUUUAGUGGCGCAGCUAACGCGAUAAGUAGACCGCCUGGGGAGUACGGUCGCAAAACUAAAACUCAAAUGAAUUGACGGGGGCCCGCACAAGCGGUGGAGCAUGUGGUUUAAUUCGGUGCAACGCGAAGAACCUUACCUGGCCUUGACAUACUAGAAACUUUCCAGAGAUGGAUCGGUGCCUUCGGGAAUCUAGAUAC
This 982-nucleotide ribosomal RNA is filed under the name uncultured Acinetobacter sp. RNAcentral's name for it is "bacterial SSU rRNA". It matches the Rfam family "Bacterial small subunit ribosomal RNA", at positions 59 to 1035 of the family's 1533-position model. Lineage: Bacteria; Pseudomonadati; Pseudomonadota; Gammaproteobacteria; Moraxellales; Moraxellaceae. The record is from RNAcentral.